RNAcentral lists this ribosomal RNA (244 nucleotides) under uncultured Staphylococcus sp. RNAcentral describes it as "partial 16S ribosomal RNA". It matches the Rfam family "Bacterial small subunit ribosomal RNA", at positions 96 to 334 of the family's 1533-position model. The record is from RNAcentral. Lineage: Bacteria; Bacillati; Bacillota; Bacilli; Caryophanales; Staphylococcaceae.
CGGCGGACGGGUGAGUAACACGUGGGUAACCUACCUAUAAGACUGGGAUAACUUCGGGAAACCGGAGCUAAUACCGGAUAAUAUAUUGAACCGCAUGGUUCAAUAGUGAAAGACGGUUUUGCUGUCACUUAUAGAUGGAUCCGCGCCGCAUUAGCUAGUUGGUAAGGUAACAGCUUACCAAGGCAACGAUGCGUAGCCGACCUGAGAGGGUGAUCGGCCACACUGGAACUGAGACACGGUCCAG